GCGGAAGUGGCGAAAUUGGCAGACGCACCAUCUUGAGGGGGUGGCGCCUUCACUGGCGUACGGGUUCAAGUCCCGUCUUCCGCAC
This 85-nucleotide transfer RNA is filed under the name Chlorobiota bacterium. Its description in RNAcentral is "tRNA-Leu". It matches the Rfam family "tRNA". Rfam says of the family: Transfer RNA (tRNA) molecules are approximately 80 nucleotides in length. The record is from RNAcentral. Lineage: Bacteria; Pseudomonadati; Chlorobiota.